CUAUANAUGCAGUCGAGCGAUGGAUUGAGAGCUUGCUCUNAUGAAGUUAGCGGCGGACGGGUGAGUAACACGUGGGUAACCUGCCCAUAAGACUGGGAUAACUCCGGGAAACCGGGGCUAAUACCGGAUAAUAUUUUGAACUGCAUGGUUCGAAAUUGAAAGGCGGCUUCGGCUGUCACUUAUGGAUGGACCCGCGUCGCAUUAGCUAGUUGGUGAGGUAACGGCUCACCAAGGCAACGAUGCGUAGCCGACCUGAGAGGGUGAUCGGCCACACUGGGACUGAGACACGGCCCAGACUCCUACGGGAGGCAGCAGUAGGGAAUCUUCCGCAAUGGACGAAAGUCUGACGGAGCAACGCCGCGUGAGUGAUGAAGGCUUUCGGGUCGUAAAACUCUGUUGUUAGGGAAGAACAAGUGCUAGUUGAAUAAGCUGGCACCUUGACGGUACCUAACCAGAAAGCCACGGCUAACUACGUGCCAGCAGCCGCGGUAAUACGUAGGUGGCAAGCGUUAUCCGGAAUUAUUGGGCGUAAAGCGCGCGCAGGUGGUUUCUUAAGUCUGAUGUGAAAGCCCACGGCUCAACCGUGGAGGGUCAUUGGAAACUGGGAGACUUGAGUGCAGAAGAGGAAAGUGGAAUUCCAUGUGUAGCGGUGAAAUGCGUAGA
This 663-nucleotide ribosomal RNA is filed under the name Bacillus sp. AT-MI-42. RNAcentral describes it as "bacterial SSU rRNA". It matches the Rfam family "Bacterial small subunit ribosomal RNA", at positions 49 to 694 of the family's 1533-position model. Lineage: Bacteria; Bacillati; Bacillota; Bacilli; Caryophanales; Bacillaceae. The record is from RNAcentral.